This 464-nucleotide ribosomal RNA is filed under the name Parvimonas sp. canine oral taxon 102. Its description in RNAcentral is "bacterial SSU rRNA". It matches the Rfam family "Bacterial small subunit ribosomal RNA", at positions 9 to 456 of the family's 1533-position model. Lineage: Bacteria; Bacillati; Bacillota; Tissierellia; Tissierellales; Peptoniphilaceae. The record is from RNAcentral.
GAGUUUGAUCAUGGCUCAGGACGAACGCUGGCGGCGUGCUUAACACAUGCAAGUCGAACGUGAUUUUUGUGGAAGUUCCUUCGGGAAUGGAAGCGAAAUGAAAGUGGCGAACGGGUGAGUAACACGUGAGCAACCUACCUUACACAGGGGGAUAGCCGUUGGAAACGACGAUUAAUACCGCAUGAGACCACAGAAUCGCAUGAUAUAGGGGUCAAAGAUUUAUCGGUGUAAGAAGGGCUCGCGUCUGAUUAGCUAGUUGGAAGGGUAAAGGCCUACCAAGGCGACGAUCAGUAGCCGGUCUGAGAGGAUGAACGGCCACAUUGGAACUGAGACACGGUCCAAACUCCUACGGGAGGCAGCAGUGGGGAAUAUUGCACAAUGGGGGGAACCCUGAUGCAGCGACGCCGCGUGAGCGAAGAAGGUUUUCGAAUCGUAAAGCUCUGUCCUAUGAGAAGAUAAUGACG